Ctenopharyngodon idella (grass carp) is the source of this 4333-nucleotide long non-coding RNA. RefSeq lists it as uncharacterized. The record is from RefSeq and is a predicted model, not a curated record. NCBI's taxonomy places the organism in Eukaryota, Metazoa, Chordata, Actinopteri, Cypriniformes, Xenocyprididae. The transcript has 4 exons.
GACAGAAUCGCAAAGUGCAGUGGUGAUUCAGUGGUGAACACCUGGUGGAUUUAUGCUUCUCCUUGAAGUUCAGUCUCUUAGAAUGUCUCACACAGCAUUUCCUCUAAUGCAAAAGUCCCUCGGUGAGAGAUUAGGAGAACAUUAAUCACAACACAACACUUCAUCAGCAGUUUUCCAGGACAAACAAAGGCUACGAGCCAACAACUAAUAGAACAACAGCAAGAGCGUGAGAUGUAAAACACAGAAGGAAAGAUGCCGCUCAGGCCUCGGGGCGACACUCUCUUCCUCCAUUAGAAGUAGUGACCUGAGGAAGAUGAGGACGAAGAGAAUGAAAGCAUGACAAAAGUGGAAGAAAAAGAGCAGCCAGGGGAAGCCAUGAUCCAGGCCAAUGAGGCCAGCACUUUGUGUUGGCUCAGAGGUAUCAAUGAAAUGCAAAUGUAUUCAAGAACCGGAACGGUUUUCUCCCAACGGAGACCGUCCCACUGUUUAAUGGACCAUCACAGUGAAAAUGUGAUGACUGAAAGGAGGCAUUGUAAGAGUCUGGCAGUGUCUUCCUCUGACGGGAAAGAGUACCAGACCGAUUUCAUCUGAUUAAUCACCAGUAUGUGGCCUUGUGGAGUAAAAGAGAGAGAAAAGUCAGGGGAAGGUGAGGGAUGAAGAUGUUUGAUGGACUACUAGACCUCACUGCUUUAUUUCAGCUGCACUGACAUGUUUCCAGUGCUGUGGGGAACCAGAACACCCCAUAAGAAGUAAAAAACAGACUUAGGGGGGUCCCCCCAGAUUUUUGUAUUUUAGUAAAGAUAACAAAGACAAAUCUGAUUAAAUUCACACAGUUAGGAUAUUCCGUGAAUUAAUUAUUUACAAUCAUUCAUGUGACUGAAGUCUAUUUUUAGGCUAGUUGUCAUGUCUCUUUAAAAUAUACGCCCCUAAGACCGCUAAGCGCAUGACAUUACUACUUGCUUGGCGCCACUGCGUUGAAGCUAACUUUAGCGAAAAAUUUAGACUAAUAAACCUCUACUUGGAGUCGGGAAGAGAAAGCUUCUUAGGUUUAGUGCUUUCGUGGGUCUUCAUUAUGGCUGGAUAAAAAAAUAUUGAUUUCGAAUAUCGAAUCGAUUCUCAUUUUUACGAACCGAUAUAGAUUCUUAAAUCCCAAGAAUCGAUUAGUCUAGUCUGUUUUCAGUUGAUGAAUGAAUGGAACAUAGCGUGCCUCCCAUCCAAUAAAUGGCAAUAAGAUUUGUGCUUUGUUACUUUUGAUAUGAUUUGAUAUGACAGUCUCAGAUUUCAAAUUCUGUCUGAAGCCGCCAGUGUGUCUAAAUGGCGCUGACAUCUUGAUUCUCGAGUCUGCGCAGAGUGAACUUGAAACCCGAGUCUGCACAGUAGUGAGCGCGAAGUGGAGCCGCAAUAUCAAGGUCCCGCCCAAACUCAGAACAACUCAUUAUGUUUGUGAAAUAAACAGUUAUAGAAAUGUAGAAAUUAAAGUUAAAGCUCCAAUGUCCUCGCGAAGAUCCAGAAAAAAGUCUGUUGGCGCCUCAAUGACUACUUCACUCAGAGAAGCUGUCAAUCAUACCGUCACACCCCCGUUUUUAUAGCAUCAAAUAACUAACUACAACCAAAUUUAUUCAAAGAACGAACACUUGAACUAACACCAGUGCGAUAAAAACUGCCUAAAAUGACAGAAAUUGUCUUUGGAAAAAAAUAUUUAAAGUGUAAUUUAAUUGUUUAGUUUGUCUCACGUCCCAUUGAAAUACAUGGAGUGGGCAGGGUUUAUGACCUAUACUGUUUCCAGCCACCUGGGGGCGAUCGAGACGCUUUGGCUUCACUUUUCAGGACUCGUGUGGCACGCUUGAUUUUAUUACGAAAUUCAAAAAAUAACCGUUUUGUUUACCAUAUUCAGUGACCAUAACUCGUUAGUUAGCUAGAAAUCUAGAGAGCAGCAUUUUGCUAAAUAUAUGCACCAAAUUGCAUAUACAUUAUAAUUUUUAAUGUUCUUCAAUAUUUAAUGCAUGUAUUAAAGCUUGUGAAUCGAAUUUUAAAAUUUGUGUCAAUACCCAGCCUUAGUCUUCAUGUGCAGAAAAACAGAAAAAUAGCUCAACUAUGGAGAUUCUGCUGUAAAGCAGCUCUAAAAGAAAAUAGUGUCAUUAAUUAGCUCAAAUUUAGCUUAUGUGUAGUCCCCUUCCUUGUUUUGCCAUGGUUGCCCUUUUGGGUCUGCUGUUUUGUUGCACUAUAAAUCAAGUAUUACUUAGGGUAAGCCAUUUAAAAGAGGAAUAGUAGCUUAUCUCUCUUUGUUAUAUCUUUGUUAUACCAUUGCCUGGACUGAAAAUGUAUAUAUUUUAUUUAUUCCUGAUCACGACAAAAAGCCUGUUCUCUUAUGUAAGCCUGUUUUAAUAAAUGGUAUAUAGUUUUGUUUAUAUAUAUAUUAUAAACAUAUGUUAUAUUACAAGACUAACCACAACCCCUCAACACCCCCCAACCCCACAAGUGUUUCCACAAGGAGCUCUUUAAACUUAUAAAAUACAAGCACAAGCUUAUUAAAAGAUUAAGACAUACCCAUUGUUCAUAUUUUUUUAAUCAGGUAAAAAAAAAAAAAAAAAAAAAAACACACAAAAAAAACAAUUUGCUUUUAGAAGGAUUUAGGCAUGCAGGUUAGCAGGUUCAACUCGAGCAUGUGUUGGAUUGGAGGGUGACGCCCUACUGGGGGGCCUAAAAAGACCCCUGGUAAAAAAAAAUUCUGCCAUGGCAAGAUUAAAAAUAAAAAACUGCUGGCUCAAAUCUUUCAAAGCUGCCAUAGCAGCCAAACCAGCGGAACGAUAUUGUCAUGUUUGUAAAUUAGCGCAUGAAUACAGAAAUGCAUGGGAGUAAUCCUCUAAUCGUGUUCGUUUUAGAGCACUGCGAGGCACCGAGUUCGCUGUUGCCCACCACUGCGGAUUACUGGAGCUCAUUAAACACACAGAUGAAUUAUUGAAAUGGUCCGGGGGCCUUUUGCUUCCAUCCAAAUUGAAGACAAAGGGGACUGGGAAAUGAAUGCUUUAUCAGGGCCGGACAGCACUCCCACAUGCUGCAACUCCUGGGCACGACAUCGGUGUGAUCGACCCCUCCAAAGCUCCAAGAUUAAAUGGUUUAUUGACUGUUGGAGGGGCAUCAAAGCGAACGGGCUCGCACAUGAACUCACCUUCAAAUGUUACUGCCACUGUCCUAGUCUGCAAGCUAUUGAUGGGAGGUCCGUAUUUGUUUGUGGCUUUGUGGAUUUGAAAUUCGGGUUUUGUAGGAUUUCAAAAAAACAAACAAACAACAACAACUAAACACUGAAUAGUUAAUGUCAAAGUAUGCUACACUUGAACCACAUAGUAACACCCUGCCAACCUCCCAGAACACCAUAGAAACUGCAUAGCAACAUGCUAAAUCCCACAGAGAACACCUUAACAACCACAUAGCAACACCCUAGUAACUGCAUAGAAUCAUGUUCAAAUCCACUCAGAACAACUUAGAAACCACAUAGCAACACCCUAGCAACUGGAUAGCAACAUUCUAAAUUCCACUCAGAACACCAUAACAACUGCAUAGCAUAGGAUUUUAAAUUUAAAAACCACUAAUGAACAGAUCGUGCUAAUGGGUGCUAGACUUGAACAUCAGCACCUUCGUUAGUUGUCUUUCUCUGUGUGAGUGCAAAGCGGUUUUGCAGGCAUGCGGUAAAGGGCAGAGCCUGAUUGAGCUGAAGCAAAGGCAAAGGCAAAGGCCAGGCCAGCUAAAGAGCAAUUGCAAGUGGGAAUAUUGGCUUUUCCAAAUCACUGGUAUUAAUUUGUGGAGUUGAAGUCCUCUACACUUUAUAAGAGGCCAGACACUUUCAAUAAUUUCGAAGGAGCCAGAGGUAUUCAUGCUCAGAGAGACUGGAUUUUCACUUACUGUUUAUCUGGUACCUGCACCUUGGGGCUGCCGUCCCACCGCCCUCUCCUUCUAAGGUACAUUCAAGCCCUUGUCAACAUUCCUGGCCCACAUUGCCUGUGACAUUAAAUUAAAUAGGUUAUUGACUGACCAAUAAGUUGGCAAUGAGUCUGCUUGAAUUCAUGCUCACUGCGUCACUGACCCAACAGGAUCCGGGUCACCGCACCAGAAAUCAAAGCAUAAUGGAUGCUGAUCACUGGAACUACUUCCAUGUACACGUAUUAUUUGUUUUUAAUUUGUAUUGAUGGUAAUCACAUUGAUCUUGAUGGAUAGCCACUGGCAGGUACAACAACAACUGUAAAAACAUAGUCCCUCUUGCACAGUCUUGAUUUACAGCAUUUACAGCAAUUCUCUCCUUUCAUUAUAUUUACAUUCUUGGUGCUUUUUUUUACAC